GGCACCAUGGCUAAGCCGGCUAAAGCGCUUGUCCAGUAAACAGGAGAGCCUGGGUUCAACUCCCAGUGGUGUCU
Molecule: non-coding RNA, 74 nt
Organism: Malaclemys terrapin pileata
Lineage: Eukaryota; Metazoa; Chordata; Testudines; Emydidae
Source: the annotation of a RefSeq genome assembly